GUACUCUCACACUUCCGAUCUUUGGAUUGGAAGCGGUGGACUUGGGUGUUGCUGCUUUGCUGUGGCUCACCUCAAAUAAAGUAGUGCAACUCUUGGUUGGACAUAGUACGGCGUGAUAAGUGUCUUCGCCGGCACCUCACUAGAGGGUGGCUGAUCAGGAGCUCUGUGCUUCAAACCGUCUUCGGACAACAUCUGACA
Molecule: unclassified non-coding RNA, 198 nt
Filed under: uncultured Sebacinaceae
Lineage: Eukaryota; Fungi; Basidiomycota; Agaricomycetes; Sebacinales; Sebacinaceae
Description: sequence contains ITS2
Source: RNAcentral